This is a long non-coding RNA of Pezoporus flaviventris, 1570 nucleotides long. RefSeq lists it as uncharacterized. The transcript is spliced from 4 exons. Lineage: Eukaryota; Metazoa; Chordata; Aves; Psittaciformes; Psittacidae. The record is from RefSeq and is a predicted model, not a curated record.
AUGGUGAGAGCCUUCGUCUGGAGGCUGAGGGGGCAUCAGAGCUCAGUAAGACUGUAACAUCGGAUGAAGAAACACCUACUGUCCUACAGAAUAACUGUCUCGUGAUUGACAUUUGUGCUUGCCUGUUUUCGCUAUGAGAAAAGCACAUAUGGCUAGAAGGAAGAGUGAGUUUAACAAGGCAGGGUGGGGGAGGCAGCACGGCAGAUGUAGCUGCCAGAAUGACUCUUGUACAUCUGCUUUCGUUAGCAGAUUACAGCCCUUUCCCUCCUGCACAGUGAAUUUGGGACUCAGCUGGAAUUUCAGCCCUUUGAGAGACUUGCUGCCUCUAGCUACAUUUGCCUGGGGAUCUUUGACUUCACGUGGCUCAGGAUACUUGCAGCAGAGACUUCCUUCCCAGCUGCCCUUGCAACUUAACCUAUGCUGUGGUAAACGGGAGGCAGGGGGCUCCGGCACCCCGGUGGUGAGACUGAUGGCGUUCACCUCAGAGCAGCUCUGCUCGUUUACCUUUGUAGUGAUGCCGCCUCUCCUCCCUUGCCCCUAGAGCCCACGUGUCAAACUCAUUUCCUCCAGGGAAGAAGAUGUGGUACCCAAGCUGAUAGCAUGGGCGUCACUCAGCAAAAGCUACUGUUAACUAGAGACAGGUUUUGUAAAGAUGAAGCACAUAGACACUUGAAUUUCAUUUUUCUGUCCCCGCUGCUAUUAACUCCCUGCUGUCUUAGACCUCAGCUAAGAUGCUGCAUGCAAAAUCUGUGGCACAGAUUCAGCUGAAUCAGCUUCACUAUCUGCAGGGACAUGAGCUCAUCUCAAAGCCCUGGUCUGGAGCAGUACAGGUGCUGAUGGCAACCAGGGAAGUCAAGAGACUGCUCAGACCUCUGCUGGGGGAGUGCAGCUGAUUUAUUCCUUCAGCUGUGUAUCACUCAGAGCCUGCUACAAGUCCUUGGCUCCUGGAUCUUUACUCUUUUGUAUGUUAGUCCAGUUAACAACUGCAGCCUAAGGUGUAUUUUAUGAACUGCAGUACAGGGGACAGUUCCAAACUGAUAUACAGGUGGCAAUUCCAACAUCUGUUAAUGCCUUAUUGAUUCCUCUUUCUUUAUCUCUAUGUGAUGUCUCAUAGAUUUAGCAGAUUUAGAUCAGUUUAUCAGGUUGGUAUCAUCCUUAUCUUUAAAGAUAAAGCAAUUGAAAGCUUGGUGUUGACCCCACAUGACAGAUUUCUAUGGAAGCUACAUAACCAUCUGUGCUUAAACAUAGUGAGAAGACGUACCGCUGCAGGAAUACUGAUGUAAAACAUUCUCACUUGACAGAGCUGGGAAUUCACCAUUAAACAGGCAGAAAUAAACCCAGUAAGAUUUCAACUGGAGGAGCUUGUGCCGGGCUCAGACUGAACGCACCAUGGGACAGACAGAAUAGCUGUACUUGGACAAAUCCCACAGCAGUAACAUGCCAUAAGCAAUUCUGCAAAUGCCCCAUUUCCUGCAGCCAGUGAAGGGAAGGCUUGCAUCAGCACUACAUUCCCUUGAACAACCAUUUAAGCAAGCUCCUCUCAGCAGGAUUGGAGGAAUGGCAGUAGGUA